CCUACGGGAGGCAGCAGUAGGGAAUAUUGCUCAAUGGGGGAAACCCUGAAGCAGCAACGCCGCGUGGAGGAUGACGGUCCUAUGGAUUGUAAACCUCUUUUGUCGGGGAGCAAGGCCCGCCACGUGUGGCGGGAAGGAGAGUACCCGAAGAAAAAGCAUCGGCUAACUCCGUGCCAGCAGCCGCGGUAAUACGGAGGAUGCGAGCGUUAUCCGGAUUUAUUGGGUUUAAAGGGUGCGUAGGCGGAAGGUUAAGUCAGCGGUCAAAUGUCGGUGCUCAACACCGGCCUGCCGUUGAAACUGGUCUUCUUGAGUGAGCGAGAAGUAUGCGGAAUGCGUGGUGUAGCGGUGAAAUGCAUAGAUAUCACGCAGAACUCCGAUUGCGAAGGCAGCAUACCGGCGCUCAACUGACGCUGAGGCACGAAAGCGUGGGGAUCGAACAGGAUUAGAUACCCUUGUAGUC
Molecule: ribosomal RNA, 460 nt
Filed under: uncultured bacterium
Lineage: Bacteria
Description: partial 16S ribosomal RNA
Rfam family: Bacterial small subunit ribosomal RNA
Source: RNAcentral